GCCAAGAUAGCAUAUUGGUUUGAGUGUUAGACUAUGACUCUGGAGACCAGGGUUUGAAUCCCUGGUCAGACA
This is a non-coding RNA of Phrynosoma platyrhinos (Desert horned lizard), 72 nucleotides long. The record is from the annotation of a GenBank genome assembly. Lineage: Eukaryota; Metazoa; Chordata; Lepidosauria; Squamata; Phrynosomatidae.